This is a non-coding RNA of Daldinia bambusicola, 104 nucleotides long. The record is from the annotation of a GenBank genome assembly. Lineage: Eukaryota; Fungi; Ascomycota; Sordariomycetes; Xylariales; Hypoxylaceae.
GGUCCCAUAGCUCAGCUGGUUAGAGCGUCGUACUAAUACCAUCGUAUUCCAACGGUCAUAUUAAGUAAAUGCGAAGGCCGGCGGUUCGAGCCCGCCUGGGACCA